UUGACCUCGGAUCAGGUAGGGAUACCCGCUGAACUUAAGCAUAUCAAUAAGCGGAGGAAAAGAAACCAACAGGGAUUGCCUCAGUAACGGCGAGUGAAGCGGCAACAGCUCAAAUUUGAAAUCUGGCUCUUUCAGGGUCCGAGUUGUAAUUUGUAGAAGAUGCUUUGGGUGUGGCUCCGGUCUAAGUUCCUUGGAACAGGACGUCAUAGAGGGUGAGAAUCCCGUACGUGACUGGGUGCCUUCGCUCGUGUAAAGCUCUUUCGACGAGUCGAGUUGUUUGGGAAUGCAGCUCAAAAUGGGUGGUAAAUUUCAUCUAAAGCUAAAUAUUGGCCAGAGACCGAUAGCGCACAAGUAGAGUGAUCGAAAGAUGAAAAGCACUUUGGAAAGAGAGUUAAACAGUACGUGAAAUUGUUGAAAGGGAAGCGCUUGCAACCAGACUUGCAGGCGGUUGAUCAUCCGAGCUUCUGCCCGGUGCACUCGAUCGUCUUCAGGCCAGCAUCGGUUUUGGUGGGCGGAUAA
This 519-nucleotide ribosomal RNA is filed under the name Hymenoscyphus sp. UBCtra1436C. RNAcentral describes it as "eukaryotic LSU rRNA". It matches the Rfam family "Eukaryotic large subunit ribosomal RNA", at positions 1 to 522 of the family's 3401-position model. The record is from RNAcentral. Lineage: Eukaryota; Fungi; Ascomycota; Leotiomycetes; Helotiales; Helotiaceae.